AUACGGAGGGUCCAAGCGUUAUCCGGAAUCAUUGGGUUUAAAGGGUCCGCAGGCGGUCAAUUAAGUCAGAGGUGAAAGCCCAUCGCUCAACGAUGGAACUGCCUUUGAUACUGGUUGACUUGAGUUAUACGGAAGUAGAUAGAAUAAGUAGUGUAGCGGUGAAAUGCAUAGAUAUUACUUAGAAUACCGAUUGCGAAGGCAGUCUACUACGUAUAUACUGACGCUGAGGGACGAAAGCGUGGGUAGCAAACAGGAUUAGAAACCCUAGUAGUCC
This 274-nucleotide ribosomal RNA is filed under the name uncultured bacterium. RNAcentral's name for it is "partial 16S ribosomal RNA". It matches the Rfam family "Bacterial small subunit ribosomal RNA", at positions 523 to 796 of the family's 1533-position model. The record is from RNAcentral.